UACGUAGGUGGCAAGCGUUGUCCGGAUUUAUUGGGCGUAAAGGGCGCGCAGGCGGUUCGUUUAGUCCGAGGUGAAAUCUCCCGGCUCAACUGGGAGGGGUCUUUGGAUACUGGCGGACUUGAGGUGAGCAGAGGUGAGCGGAAUUCUGGGUGUAGUGGUGAAAUGCGUAGAUAUCCAGAGGAACACCAGUGGCGAAGGCGGCUCACUGGGCUCCACCUGACGCUGAGGCGCGAAAGCGUGGGGAGCGAACCGG
This 253-nucleotide ribosomal RNA is filed under the name uncultured bacterium. RNAcentral describes it as "partial 16S ribosomal RNA". It matches the Rfam family "Bacterial small subunit ribosomal RNA", at positions 524 to 776 of the family's 1533-position model. The record is from RNAcentral.